This 662-nucleotide ribosomal RNA is filed under the name Bifidobacterium subtile. Its description in RNAcentral is "bacterial SSU rRNA". It matches the Rfam family "Bacterial small subunit ribosomal RNA", at positions 57 to 731 of the family's 1533-position model. Lineage: Bacteria; Bacillati; Actinomycetota; Actinomycetes; Bifidobacteriales; Bifidobacteriaceae. The record is from RNAcentral.
GCAGUCGAACGGGAUCCAAGCAGCUUGCUGUUUGGUGAGAGUGGCGAACGGGUGAGUAAUGCGUGACCGACCUGCCCCAUGCUCCGGAAUAGCUCCUGGAAACGGGUGGUAAUGCCGGAUGCUCCAGUUGACCGCAUGGUCUUCUGGGAAGGAUUUUAUCGGCAUGGGAUGGGGUCGCGUCCUAUCAGCUUGUUGGUGGGGCAAUGGCCCACCAAGGCUUCGACGGGUAGCCGGCCUGAGAGGGCGACCGGCCACAUUGGGACUGAGAUACGGCCCAGACUCCUACGGGAGGCAGCAGUGGGGAAUAUUGCACAAUGGGCGCAAGCCUGAUGCAGCGACGCCGCGUGAGGGAUGACGGCCUUCGGGUUGUAAACCUCUUUUGUUAGGGAGCAAGCGUAAGUGAGUGUACCUUUCGAAUAAGCACCGGCUAACUACGUGCCAGCAGCCGCGGUAAUACGUAGGGUGCAAGCGUUAUCCGGAAUUAUUGGGCGUAAAGAGCUCGUAGGCGGCUUGUCGCGUCCGGUGUGAAAGUCCAUCGCUUAACGGUGGAUCUGCGCCGGGUACGGGCAGGCUAGAAUGCGGUAGGGGAGACUGGAAUUCCCGGUGUAACGGUGGAAUGUGUAGAUAUCGGGAAGAACACCAAUGGCGAAGGCAGGUCUCUG